ACGUACGACCAUAGACAUCUGAAAACUCGGGAUCCCGUCCGCUCUCCCAUAGAUAAGCAGAUGAUCGCCAGACUAGUACUCGGGUGGGUGACCACCGGGGAAUCCCUGGUGUUGUACGUG
Coniochaeta ligniaria NRRL 30616 is the source of this 120-nucleotide ribosomal RNA. The record is from Rfam. Lineage: Eukaryota; Fungi; Ascomycota; Sordariomycetes; Coniochaetales; Coniochaetaceae.